Molecule: long non-coding RNA, 1131 nt
Filed under: Olea europaea subsp. europaea
Lineage: Eukaryota; Viridiplantae; Streptophyta; Magnoliopsida; Lamiales; Oleaceae
Source: RNAcentral
GCGACGGUAGCAAACUCAUCUACACAAGAUCAGCGACGCAGAUAGGGAUUCACGAUGCUUGCCGACACAAACUCCACAGAAAUUGAUGGCUACCACGAUGAAGUGAUCCGCCAGGUGAGUCCCAAAACUAAGAAUCGAGCCUUUCUAUGGAAGCACAGAAAAUUUUCUAGCCAGAAGUGUCCUCUUAGAUCGAGGGCUCUUGUACCGUGACAAAACAAAUUGAUUUCAGUUUGAAUGCCUCUCAAUUUGAGUGUUGCUUCCAUUAAAUAGAUGAAAUUUGGCCAAUUAUAAGGCUGUAAAUCAGUCGUUACAUAUUUCUUGCAUAAUCCUUGCUAUCUAUGUAUGGAAUUCUUGCUGCCUAUGUACACAAUUACACGGAAAUUACACGGGAUUAUAUCCUACUAAUAACCUAAACUAUCCAAUGGAAUUAAUCAGACUUCCGUAGAACUAUCUGUAUUUUAGAUCUAUGCUUUCAACAUGACCUCUCAUUUCCAAGCUUGAAUUCCUUAGGAUAAACAUGUGCUAUUAUUGCAACGGGUUGGUGGAGACAUCCAGGAACUCUGCAUAUUUGUUCUACAUUUCUCUUUCAACAUUUUUUCAGAAUCUCAUUUUCAAUAAAUUGUAACCCUAACAACAAACUAAGACUUUUUCCCAGUAAAUUUGGGGUUGGCUGCCAAAGAAGUGAAGAAUCAGUGAGUUGGACAAGGUUCCCUGGAAUCAUUUUUUGCCAUUGUCUUCUAUCCAUCAUCAGAUCUUUGUAAGAUCAAAUGAAAACAAAUCUUUCACAACCACAUCAACACCAUGUUAACUUUGGUCUACAUAUCUUUCAUCUAAAAUGUUCUAUUAGGUAUCACUCUUAUAGGUAGGAGCUUCUUUAAAUCUAUUAUAAAAUAUGUUCAAACUAACUAUGUCGUCCUUCCAUGAAUUUGUCCAUAUUGGUGCCACCUGUCAAUCAGGACAUAUAUUAGGCAAAAUUAAACAAUUUACUUAUGGUAUGAUUGUAAUACACAUAUAUAGACAUUAUUGUAUAGUGUAACAGCUUCCAUAAUCAUUAGCCUAGAUUGAGAAUAAUCGCUGAAAAAUCAGCAUGUAACAAGGAACAUAAUUACCUAUGAUCCUCAAUUUAAACAG